GCACAAGCAGCGGAGCGUGUGGUUUAAUUCGAUGUUACACGAAGAACCUUACCUGGGUUUGACAUGCUAGUGGUAAUGAAGCGAAAGCUAAGUGACCCGCAAGGGAGCUAGCACAGGUGCUGCAUGGCUGUCGUCAGCUUGUGUCGUGAGAUGUUCGGUUAAGUCCGCUAACGAGCGCAACCCUCGCUGUGUGUUACAAGUGUCACACAGGACCGCCGGUCUUAAGCCGGAGGAAGGUGGGGAUGACGUCAAGUCAGCAUGGCCUUUAUAUCCAGGGCUACACACACGCUACAAUGGUCAGUACAAUGGGUUGCCAAGCCGCGAGGCGGAGCCAAUCCUAAAAAGCUGGCCUCAGUUCAGAUUGCAGUCUGAAACUCGACUGCAUGAAGUCGGAGUUGCUAGUAAACGCAGGUCAGCUAUACUGCGUUGAAUACGUUCCCGGGGCUU
Molecule: ribosomal RNA, 447 nt
Filed under: uncultured Anaerolineaceae bacterium
Lineage: Bacteria; Bacillati; Chloroflexota; Anaerolineae; Anaerolineales; Anaerolineaceae
Description: bacterial SSU rRNA
Rfam family: Bacterial small subunit ribosomal RNA
Source: RNAcentral